GAAAAAUAUUCAACCUUGGGAGAGGCCAGCCCCUUCCAGAUGGGUUUCCAAGGCCAUGGAGUAUUCAGUGGGUUAGAUAUGUCAAAAUAGCAUAACAUGAUUUCACCGAGAAUGUGCCUUCCUAAUUCGCUUUCCAGAUGAGGCAAUCAGAGGUAGGAGAAGAAGAAAAUCUAUGGAGAAAGUCCAAGAGACGCAGAUAUCUAUCCACCUCCCAGUCGUUUAGGUUUCUCCUGAUAUUGAUCAGCCAACCAUGAUCCAAUAUGAAGUCUGAAAUGAGAGCAUUUCUCGAGGAAAUGAUUCUGUAAAGGUCUAGGAAGCUGUCUUUAAUAGGAGAUACUGCCAGAAUUUAGUCUUUCUACCACCCCCCACUUUUAUUGAAGAGUGCAACAUGAAGAAAUCCCAUAAAAUCCUGAUAUGUUUUCAGAUACCAAGUCCUAAAGGAGGAGGAGUAGGUUUGGUGGACCAGGGAUCAAGAAGAUCAUACUUGGAGCAAAUUACAGCCCUCCAGAGAGAGUUUUCUUCUUGAUUGAAACGCCAGAUCCACUUACACAUUGGCUACUGUUAUGUGCAUUCAAAUCCCUAAUCCCCAGUCCUCCAAACUUUUUAUUUCUGAUGACCCUGUACCACUUGACUAAGUUAAAAGAUCUCCUAUCUUUGUUACCUUGCCAAAGGAAGCUCUGCAAAUUUUAUCCAACCUUUUGGAGACACUUACAGGCAUGGGAAAAAGAGCCAUGCUGUAAAUGGGUAAAGAAUCCAGAACACUGUUGAUCAACACCACUCUCCCUCCUGGUGAGAGAUAUUGUCCUUUCCAAGUAGACAACUUUCUCUCGCAUUUCUUUCUCUAACACAUCACUCCAGAUAGAUAAAGCAUUAGAUUUGGCCUCCAGAGGAAGGCCCAAAUACUUUGCAGGAAGAGAACCGAUAUUGCAACCCAUGAUAUCAGCCAGAAGUUGCAUAUUAGUAACUGUGAGAAAGCACGGGAGAAAAAUAUAAUUGAUAUUAAACAUAAUACAAUGAGCCCUAUAUA
RNAcentral lists this long non-coding RNA (1027 nucleotides) under Nicotiana benthamiana. RNAcentral describes it as "long non-coding RNA (NBEN_LNC042294)". Lineage: Eukaryota; Viridiplantae; Streptophyta; Magnoliopsida; Solanales; Solanaceae. The record is from RNAcentral.